Molecule: ribosomal RNA, 292 nt
Filed under: uncultured bacterium
Lineage: Bacteria
Description: partial 16S ribosomal RNA
Rfam family: Bacterial small subunit ribosomal RNA
Source: RNAcentral
GUGCCAGCAGCCGCGGUAAUACAGAGGGUGCAAGCGUUAAUCGGAAUUAUUGGGCGUAAAGCGCAUGUAGGUGGCUUGUUAAGUCUGAUGUGAAAGCCCUGGGCUUAACCUGGGAAUAGCGUUGGAGACUGACGAGCUAGAGUCGGACAGAGGGUCGUGGAAUUUCCGGUGUAGCGGUGAAAUGCGUAGAGAUCGGAAAGAACAUCAGUGGCGAAGGCGUCGAUCUGGGUCCAGACUGACACUGAGGUGCGAAAGCAUGGGGAGCAAACAGGAUUAGAUACCCCGGUAGUCC